This 412-nucleotide ribosomal RNA is filed under the name uncultured bacterium. Its description in RNAcentral is "bacterial SSU rRNA". It matches the Rfam family "Bacterial small subunit ribosomal RNA", at positions 40 to 448 of the family's 1533-position model. The record is from RNAcentral.
CGGCAGGCUUAACACAUGCAAGUCGAGCGGUAGCACAGGGGAGCUUGCUCCCUGGGUGACGAGCGGCGGACGGGUGAGUAAUGUCUGGGAAACUGCCUGAUGGAGGGGGAUAACUACUGGAAACGGUAGCUAAUACCGCAUAACGUCGCAAGACCAAAGAGGGGGACCUUCGGGCCUCUUGCCAUCAGAUGUGCCCAGAUGGGAUUAGCUAGUAGGUGGGGUAAUGGCUCACCUAGGCGACGAUCCCUAGCUGGUCUGAGAGGAUGACCAGCCACACUGGAACUGAGACACGGUCCAGACUCCUACGGGAGGCAGCAGUGGGGAAUAUUGCACAAUGGGCGCAAGCCUGAUGCAGCCAUGCCGCGUGUGUGAAGAAGGCCUUCGGGUUGUAAAGCACUUUCAGCGAGGAGGA